AAACCAACUGGGAUUACCUUAGUAACGGCGAGUGAAGCGGUAAAAGCUCAAAAUUUGAAAUCUGGUACUUUCAGUGCCCGAGUUGUAAUUUGUAGAAUUUGUCUUUGAUUAGGUCCUUGUCUAUGUUCCUUGGAACAGGACGUCAUAGAGGGUGAGAAUCCCGUUUGGCGAGGAUACCUUUUCUCUGUAAGACUUUUUCGAAGAGUCGAGUUGUUUGGGAAUGCAGCUCAAAGUGGGUGGUAAAUUCCAUCUAAAGCUAAAUAUUGGCGAGAGACCGAUAGCGAACAAGUACAGUGAUGGAAAGAUGAAAAGAACUUUGAAAAGAGAGUGAAAAAGUACGUGAAAUUGUUGAAAGGGAAGGGCAUUUGAUCAGACAUGGUGUUUUUUGCAUGCACUCGCCUCUCGUGGGCUUGGGCCUCUCAAAAAUUUCACUGGGCCAACAUCAAUUCUGGCAGCAGGAUAAAUCAUUAAGAAUGUAGCUACUUUGGUAGUGUUAUAGCUUUUUUGGAAUACUGUUAGCCGGGU
Molecule: ribosomal RNA, 525 nt
Filed under: uncultured Hanseniaspora
Lineage: Eukaryota; Fungi; Ascomycota; Saccharomycetes; Saccharomycodales; Saccharomycodaceae
Description: eukaryotic LSU rRNA
Rfam family: Eukaryotic large subunit ribosomal RNA
Source: RNAcentral